AGAGUUUGAUCCUGGCUCAGGACGAACGCUGGCGGCGUGCCUAACACAUGCAAGUCGAACGGGAUCCACGCCAUGAAGUUUUCGGAUGGAUUGGUGUGGUGAGAGUGGCGAACGGGCGAGUAACGCGUGAGCAACCUACCUCGUACUGGGGGAUAACGUCGGGAAACCGGCGCUAAUACCGCAUAAGACUACGAUGCCGCAUGGCAAUGUAGUCAAAGCUCCGGCGGUACGAGACGGGCUCGCGUCCGAUUAGCUAGUUGGUAGGGUAAUGGCCUACCAAGGCGACGAUCGGUAGCCGGACUGAGAGGUCGGCCGGCCGCAUUGGGACUGAGACACGGCCCAGACUCCUACGGGAGGCAGCAGUGGGGAAUCUUGGACAAUGGGGGAAACCCUGAUCCAGCCAUUCCGCGUGUGCGAUGAAGGCCUUCGGGUUGUAAAGCACUUUUGGCGGGGAAGAAAUUGCGCGGGCUAAUACC
Molecule: ribosomal RNA, 476 nt
Filed under: uncultured bacterium
Lineage: Bacteria
Description: bacterial SSU rRNA
Rfam family: Bacterial small subunit ribosomal RNA
Source: RNAcentral